This 472-nucleotide ribosomal RNA is filed under the name uncultured organism. RNAcentral describes it as "partial 16S ribosomal RNA". It matches the Rfam family "Bacterial small subunit ribosomal RNA", at positions 334 to 797 of the family's 1533-position model. The record is from RNAcentral.
CACUCCUACGGGAGGCAGCAGUGGGGAAUUUUGGACAAUGGGGGCAACCCUGAUCCAGCAAUGCCGCGUGAGUGAAGAAGGCCUUCGGGUUGUAAAGCUCUUUUGUCAGGGAAGAAACGGUGGUGGCGAAUAACUACUACUAAUGACGGUACCUGAAGAAUAAGCACCGGCUAACUACGUGCCAGCAGCCGCGGUAAUACGUAGGGUGCAAGCGUUAAUCGGAAUUACUGGGCGUAAAGCGUGCGCAGGCGGUUGUGUAAGUCAGAUGUGAAAUCCCCGGGCUCAACCUGGGAAUUGCAUUUGAGACUGCACGGCUAGAGUGUGUCAGAGGGGGGUAGAAUUCCACGUGUAGCAGUGAAAUGCGUAGAUAUGUGGAGGAAUACCGAUGGCGAAGGCAGCCCCCUGGGAUAACACUGACGCUCAUGCACGAAAGCGUGGGGAGCAAACAGGAUUAGAUACCCCUGUAGUCCCA